Molecule: ribosomal RNA, 440 nt
Filed under: uncultured bacterium
Lineage: Bacteria
Description: partial 16S ribosomal RNA
Rfam family: Bacterial small subunit ribosomal RNA
Source: RNAcentral
CCUACGGGUGGCAGCAGUGGGGGAUAUUGCACAAUGGGGGGAACCCUGAUGCAGCGACGCCGCGUGGGUGAAGAAGCGCCUCGGCGCGUAAAGCUCUGUCAUUAGGGAAGAAAAUGACGGUACCUGAAGAAGAAGCCCCGGCCAAGUACGUGCCAGCAGCCGCGGUCAUACGUAGGGGGCAAGCGUUAUCCGGAUUUACUGGGUGUAAAGGGGGCGCAGUCGGCGGUGCAAGCCAGGAGUGAAAGCCCGGGGCUCAACCCCGGGAGUGCACUUGGAACUGCGUGGCUGGAGUGCAGGAGGGGAAGGCGGAAUUCCUGGUGUAGCGGUGAAAUGCGUAGAUAUCAGGAGGAACACCGGUGGCGAAGGCGGCCUGCUGGACUGCAACUGACGCUGAGGCCCGAAAGCGUGGGGAGCAAACAGGAUUAGAUACCCCGGUAGUC